RNAcentral lists this transfer RNA (73 nucleotides) under Hermetia illucens (black soldier fly). RNAcentral describes it as "tRNA-Val". The record is from RNAcentral. Lineage: Eukaryota; Metazoa; Arthropoda; Insecta; Diptera; Stratiomyidae.
GUUUUCGUGGUGUAGUGGUUAUCACAUCCGCCUAACGCGCGGAAGGUCCCCGGUUCGAUCCCGGGCGAAAACA